Molecule: ribosomal RNA, 492 nt
Filed under: uncultured bacterium
Lineage: Bacteria
Description: partial 16S ribosomal RNA
Rfam family: Bacterial small subunit ribosomal RNA
Source: RNAcentral
AGUGAACGCUGGCGGUAGGCCUAACACAUGCAAGUCGAACGGCAGCACAGUAAGAGCUUGCUCUUACGGGUGGCGAGUGGCGGACGGGUGAGGAAUACAUCGGAAUCUACUUUUUCGUGGGGGAUAACGUAGGGAAACUUACGCUAAUACCGCAUACGACCUACGGGUGAAAGCAGGGGAUCUUCGGACCUUGCGCGAUUGAAUGAGCCGAUGUCGGAUUAGCUAGUUGGCGGGGUAAAGGCCCACCAAGGCGACGAUCCGUAGCUGGUCUGAGAGGAUGAUCAGCCACACUGGAACUGAGACACGGUCCAGACUCCUACGGGAGGAAGCAGUGGAGAAUAUUGGACGAUGGGCGCGAGCCUGAUCCAGCCAUACCGCGUGGGUGAAGAAGGCCUUCGGGUUGUAAAGCCCUUUUGUUGGGAAAGAAAAGCAGCAGGUUAAUACCCCGCUGUUCUGACGGUACCCAAAGAAUAAGCACCGGCUAACUUCGUG